GAUGAACGCUGGCGGCGUGCCUAAUACAUGCAAGUCGAGCGAACGGACGAGAAGCUUGCUUCUCUGAUGUUAGCGGCGGACGGGUGAGUAACACGUGGAUAACCUACCUAUAAGACUGGGAUAACUUCGGGAAACCGGAGCUAAUACCGGAUAAUAUUUUGAACCGCAUGGUUCAAAAGUGAAAGACGGUCUUGCUGUCACUUAUAGAUGGAUCCGCGCUGCAUUAGCUAGUUGGUAAGGUAACGGCUUACCAAGGCAACGAUGCAUAGCCGACCUGAGAGGGUGAUCGGCCACACUGGAACUGAGACACGGUCCAGACUCCUACGGGAGGCAGCAGUAGGGAAUCUUCCGCAAUGGGCGAAAGCCUGACGGAGCAACGCCGCGUGAGUGAUGAAGGUCUUCGGAUCGUAAAACUCUGUUAUUAGGGAAGAACAUAUGUGUAAGUAACUGUGCACAUCUUGACGGUACCUAAUCAGAAAGCCACGGCUAACUACGUGCCAGCAGCCGCGGUAAUACGUAGGUGGCAAGCGUUAUCCGGAAUUAUUGGGCGUAAAGCGCGCGUAGGCGGUUUUUUAAGUCUGAUGUGAAAGCCCACGGCUCAACCGUGGAGGGUCAUUGGAAACUGGAAAACUUGAGUGCAGAAGAGGAAAGUGGAAUUCCAUGUGUAGCGGUGAAAUGCGCAGAGAUAUGGAGGAACACCAGUGGCGAAGGCGACUUUCUGGUCUGUAACUGACGCUGAUGUGCGAAAGCGUGGGGAUCAAACAGGAUUAGAUACCCUGGUAGUCCACGCCGUAAACGAUGAGUGCUAAGUGUUAGGGGGUUUCCGCCCCUUAGUGCUGCAGCUAACGCAUUAAGCACUCCGCCUGGGGAGUACGACCGCAAGGUUGAAACUCAAAGGAAUUGACGGGGACCCGCACAAGCGAUGGAGCAUGUGGUUUAAUUCGAAGCAACGCGAAGAACCUUACCAAAUCUUGACAUCCUUUGACAACUCUAGAGAUAGAGCUUUCCCCUUCGGGGGACAAAGUGACAGGUGGUGCAUGGUUGUCGUCAGCUCGUGUCGUGAGAUGUUGGGUUAAGUCCCGCAACGAGCGCAACCCUUAAGCUUAGUUGCCAUCAUUAAGUUGGGCACUCUAAGUUGACUGCCGGUGACAAACCGGAGGAAGGUGGGGAUGACGUCAAAUCAUCAUGCCCCUUAUGAUUUGGGCUACACACGUGCUACAAUGGACAAUACAAAGGGCAGCGAAACCGCGAGGUCAAGCAAAUCCCAUAAAGUUGUUCUCAGUUCGGAUUGUAGUCUGCAACUCGACUACAUGAAGCUGGAAUCGCUAGUAAUCGUAGAUCAGCAUGCUACGGUGAAUACGUUCCCGGGUCU
Molecule: ribosomal RNA, 1372 nt
Filed under: uncultured bacterium
Lineage: Bacteria
Description: bacterial SSU rRNA
Rfam family: Bacterial small subunit ribosomal RNA
Source: RNAcentral